RNAcentral lists this ribosomal RNA (503 nucleotides) under uncultured bacterium. Its description in RNAcentral is "partial 16S ribosomal RNA". It matches the Rfam family "Bacterial small subunit ribosomal RNA", at positions 30 to 523 of the family's 1533-position model. The record is from RNAcentral.
AUUGAACGCUGGCGGCAGGCUUAACACAUGCAAGUCGAGCGGGGUGAUGGUGCUUGCACUAUCACUUAGCGGCGGACGGGUGAGUAAUGCUUAGGAAUCUGCCUAUUAGUGGGGGACAACAUCUCGAAAGGGAUGCUAAUACCGCAUACGUCCUACGGGAGAAAGCAGGGGAUCACUUGUGACCUUGCGCUAAUAGAUGAGCCUAAGUCGGAUUAGCUAGUUGGUGGGGCAAAGGCCUACCAAGGCGACGAUCUGUAGCGGGUCUGAGAGGAUGAUCCGCCACACUGGGACUGGGACACGGCGCAGACUCCUCCAGGAGGCAGCAGUGGGGAAUAUUGAACAAUGGGGGGAACCCUAAUCCAGCCAUGCCGCGUGUGUGAAGAAGGCCUUAUGGUUGUAAAGCACUAUAAGCGAGGCGUAGGCUCUUUUGGUUAAUACCCAAGAUGAGUGGACGUUACUCGCAGAAUAAGCACCGGCUAACUCUGUGCCAGCAGCCGCCGUAA